AUGAAGAUUUUAGCAUGGAACUCCCGGGGAUUGGGGAAUGGCCCGACAGUGAGAGGGCUUCUGGACCUCCGGAAGCAGGUGGAUCCUGGCAUCAUCUUCUUAUCUGAAACUAAACUGGAUAAAGGGAGGAUGGAGAAGCUUAAGUGGAAGUUAGGAAUGGGGAACAUGAUGGCAAGGGACUGUGAAAGAAAGAGCGGAGGGUUGGCAUUACUUUGGAAGAAAGAAGUAAACUUGGAGCUGCACAACUACUCCAAGUAUCAUAUUGAUGUAAACGUAGUGGAGAAAGAUGGUUUUAGGUGGCGUUUCACGGGCAUUUGUGGAGAGACCGCAAGUGAUAAAAAGAAAAUAACUUGGAAGUUAUUGUGCAUCCUCAAUCAGCAGCUUAAAUUUCCAUGGUUAUGCACCGACGAUUUUAACGAGAUCAUGUAUAGUCAUGAAAAGAAGGGUGGCAGGUAG
Molecule: ribosomal RNA, 456 nt
Filed under: Triticum aestivum (bread wheat)
Lineage: Eukaryota; Viridiplantae; Streptophyta; Magnoliopsida; Poales; Poaceae
Description: partial small subunit ribosomal RNA
Source: RNAcentral